CGUAGGUGGCAAGCGUUGUCCGGAUUUAUUGGGCGUAAAGCGUCCGCAGAUUGUUUGACGGGUCAGGGGUUAAAAUCCAGUGCUUAACACUGGAACUGCCUUUGAAACUAUCAAACUAGAGGGUGGAAGAGGUAAGCGGAAUUGCAGGUGUAGUCGUAAUAAGCGUUGAUAUCUGCAAGAACACCAAAGGCGAAGGCAGCUUACUAGUACACCUCUGACGUUCAUGGACGAAGGCGUGGGGAGCAAACAGGAUUAGAUACCCUGGUAGUCCACGCCCUAAACAAUGCACACUAGAUAUUGGCAGUAUCGACCCUGUCAGUGUCGCUUAAAAAAGUUAACACAUUAAGUGUGCCGCCUGGGGAGUACGGCCGCAAGGCUA
Molecule: ribosomal RNA, 379 nt
Filed under: uncultured organism
Description: bacterial SSU rRNA
Rfam family: Bacterial small subunit ribosomal RNA
Source: RNAcentral